This 336-nucleotide unclassified non-coding RNA is filed under the name soil metagenome. Its description in RNAcentral is "partial contains 5.8S ribosomal RNA, internal transcribed spacer 2, and large subunit ribosomal RNA". The stretch from base 1 to 120 matches the Rfam family "5.8S ribosomal RNA", at positions 35 to 154 of the family's 154-position model. The record is from RNAcentral.
GAUGAAGAACGUAGCGAAAUGCGAUAAGUAAUGUGAAUUGCAGAAUUCAGUGAAUCAUCGAAUCUUUGAACGCACAUUGCGCCCGCCAGUAUUCUGGCGGGCAUGCCUGUCCGAGCGUCAUUUCAACCCUCAAGCCCCAGCCGGCUUGGUGUUGGGGACCGGCCCCGGCCGCCCCCCAAAUGCAGUGGCGACCUCGCCGCAGCCUCCCCUGCGUAGUAGCACAACCUCGCACCGGAGCGCGGAGACGGCCACGCCGUAAAACGCCCAACUUCUCAGAGUUGACCUCGGAUCAGGUAGGAAUACCCGCUGAACUUAAGCAUAUCAAUAAGCGGAGGA